Molecule: non-coding RNA, 84 nt
Organism: Bombyx mori (domestic silkworm)
Lineage: Eukaryota; Metazoa; Arthropoda; Insecta; Lepidoptera; Bombycidae
Source: Rfam
CUAACUAAAAUAUGUAUAGAGUUGGAACGUUUACCUACGUUUGCCGCUAGGGGCGCUGUUCUAACUGCAUACAAAUUUCAGUUA